RNAcentral lists this long non-coding RNA (2900 nucleotides) under Ananas comosus (pineapple). RNAcentral's name for it is "long non-coding RNA (ACOM_LNC026215)". Lineage: Eukaryota; Viridiplantae; Streptophyta; Magnoliopsida; Poales; Bromeliaceae. The record is from RNAcentral.
UGCUACUUAUAAAAGCCUGAGUUUUGAAUUUUUUUCUCUUUUCGAAAAUACCUAUAUUCUUUUUACUAAAUGUUUUCAUGUCCAAUAAUUCUCGACCAAUCAUUUCAAAUAAUUCACUAAGUAAUAAUUUAUUCUCAAAUAAAGAUAUUAAUUUUUUUUUAUUAGAUCUUAUCUAACGAUUAAAAAUAAAAGUAUCUGUCACUUUUUGUGACAAUAAUAUCUUCGCAUUUAUAUCAUAUCUUCUAUCUACGCGUUUCUCAAAUAUUUUCUUUCUCACGCGUAAUAUUCGUACCUGCUAAUUAGUUUUCAACGUAAUAUCUGUGAAUUUCUCAAAUGUCUCAUUAAUCUACCUAUCAUACACGUUCACUACUUACAUAACAUCCAGUUAACCUUUCUCACACGUAAUAUCCACGCGUUUCUCAAAUAUCUCAUCAAAAUUCUAAUCUUUUGUCAUUAUUUCUCAAAAAUUCUCUUAACCUAUUAUAAUUUUGAAUUAAACAUAUCCUUGCAUUUGAAUUUAAAUAUUAGAAUGGAUCAAAAUUAAAUUUUAAAUUUUAAAUUAAACAUAAAUUUUAUUGCGAAAAUAUCUCUAUCUUUUUAACUAAUUUUUCGUGUCCAGAAAUUUUGAACUAUUCAUCUCAAACAAUCUAUUAAAUUUUAAAUUCGUUAGAAACAAAUAAUAUCUCCACUACCCACGUAUUUGAAUUUAAAUCUUAAAGUGAAUUAAAAUUAAAUUUUAAAAAUUUUAAAUCUUUCAAAGUGGAUUAAAAUUAAAUUUUAAUUUUUAAAAUUAAACAUAAUAAAUAUUUUAAUAUUUUUACUUUAAAAUAUAUAUAUUUAAAUUUUGAAUUCACUAGAUAUCGAAAAAUAUAGCAAAAUAUUUAAUAUUUCUACCAUGUAAUAUCUGCCCGCCACACAUAAUAUAGAGAAUAUUUUAAUACCCUCGCAUAUAAAAUUUUUCUCCCGUACCCAAUUUUAUCUCAUCAUAAUACUUAUCCAUACAUAAAGUAUAUUUUUUUUAAUACUUUCUCAUCUCCAUCUGUACGUUUAUUAAAUAUAAAGCAUAUUCUUUUUAGUAAUAUUUUAUUCGUUCCUCAUCGUCGUUCUCGGUCGCCUUCGCUACAGUUGAAAAGGUUUUUUGGCAACACCUAAUUCAUUUUAAUGUGUCAUAAUAUAAUUUCCCAUCUAAUUCGUCUUUCGUGCACUUUGUUUUACUUUUUAAGAUUUUUAAAUGCUAAUAAAUAUGCCUUUUCAUGACCUUUUAUCUUAUAUUAAUUGCGGAAGUUAUCGUCCUUCUGGCACAUUGUUAUUGUCCUCACCGGCUCAACACGUCAUCGUCGUCACCUUCGCCGAUCAUUGUCGCCUUCGCUAACACAUCAUCAUCGUCACUUUUGCCAGCACUUCAUCAUCAUCCUACUCACCGGAACAAUCAUUUUUUUGACAAUUGAAAAGGUAUUUUGGUGCUACUCAAUAUUCUCAAUGUAUAACUAAUUCUUCAUUUUAAUUUCUAACUUAUAUUUACUAGCUAAGUGCACAUAAAAUACACGUUGCAUAAAAUAUUAAAAAUGUAAUAUAUACUGUUUAAAAUUUUUGAAACACUAAACGCAUAACUUUUAAUUUUUUAAAGAAAUAUAAUUUUUUCAAACUUCUAAUAGACAUAAAUUAAGACCCACGAAAACUUAAAAACCAAACAAUAUUAAAAAUUCAUUUACAAAUAAAAAAAUUCUUUAAAAUGAUAUUAGGAAAAAACUCAAAAUAAUAUAAUAAUAAUUCAAAAUCAUAAUAAAUAGAUGGGUAAAUUGCAUUGCUACCCCCUGAACUUUUGGCGAAGUUUCACUUUACCCCUCGAACUCCUAAAAUUGACAUCUAACACUCUAAACUCUAAUAUUUCAUUUAUGUUACCCCUUCCGUCAGUUUUCUGUUAAGCUCCGUUAACCGAAAACUGACGGAAUGGAUAAAACGAAUAAAAUAUUAAAGUUUAGGGUGUUAGAUGUCUAUUUUUGGAGUUUGGGGGGUUAAGUGAAACUCGCCAAAAGUUCAGAAGGUAGCAGUGCAAUUUACUCAGUCCUCGAGCACUCUUGACUAUAAAUUAUUUUAUUAUAAUACUUUACUUAUGAAUUGACUACUAACCCUCAAGUUAGUGAUCAUACUUGAUUUUGAAUUUAUAUAUAUUUUUUAUCGUAAAAUAAAUCGUACCAUAAUUUAUCCUACAUUUUAUUGUAAUAAAAUAAAAGCGAAAGAAAUAAAUUAGAGUUGCUUAAAGAUAAGAAAAGAACAAUGCUAACUAUCUGCGAUUCUCGAACACUCUACUAUUCUGGUGCACUUGCUAAUAUGGUUGGUUUACAAUAGGUGUCCUUACUCGGAUAUAGAAAUUUUAAUUCUCAGUUAAUGUCACGCCCUGGGGUCCCUUUUUGGUUUAAAAGUCAUUACGGAAGUGCUCAAUUUUUUUUUUUGAAAAACCUAAGCCCCCGAGUAUGCCAGAUCUGCCACAAAUACAGUAAGUUCACUGUUCACGCGGACAGAGUCACCCCUAAAUUUGUACGGCAUCGCACAAGUACAAGGUACAAGAUUCACAAUAUAGGAUACAACCACCACAUAUGAACAGCCACAUAUUCAUACACCAUUCACAUUCGCAUUUAAUACAUCACAAUUAUUCAUAAAUCCACAUCUAUCAGCUUAAAACGUUUCCUACCCGGAAACUCGUUUUGAAAUACUAAUAAUCAGGAAAACUAGAAAAUCCUUUUAAAACUGUUUCCCACAAAAAAAUCUUUUCUUUUUAAAACUAGCUACCACGAUGGAUAGAAAACCAUUUCAGUUUGCAAGAAUCACAAAUCCUUUAUUACAUUCAUGAAAUCCCAAUUAUUCAAUCAUCAUGAAAUACUGAACCAUAAUUGCAUUCU